RNAcentral lists this transfer RNA (75 nucleotides) under compost metagenome. Its description in RNAcentral is "tRNA-Ala". It matches the Rfam family "tRNA". Rfam says of the family: Transfer RNA (tRNA) molecules are approximately 80 nucleotides in length. Their secondary structure includes four short double-helical elements and three loops (D, anti-codon, and T loops). Further hydrogen bonds mediate the characteristic L-shaped molecular structure. tRNAs have two regions of fundamental functional importance: the anti-codon, which is responsible for specific mRNA codon recognition, and the 3' end, to which the tRNAs corresponding amino acid is attached (by aminoacyl-tRNA synthetases). tRNAs cope with the degeneracy of the genetic code in two manners: having more than one tRNA (with a specific anti-codon) for a particular amino acid; and 'wobble' base-pairing, i.e. permitting non-standard base-pairing at the 3rd anti-codon position. The record is from RNAcentral.
GGGGUGUUAGCUCAGAGGGAGAGCAUCUGCUUUGCAAGCAGAGGGUCAAGGGUUCGAAUCCCUUACACUCCACCA